This 926-nucleotide ribosomal RNA is filed under the name Salmonella enterica subsp. enterica serovar Lubbock. RNAcentral's name for it is "partial 23S ribosomal RNA". It matches the Rfam family "Bacterial large subunit ribosomal RNA", at positions 593 to 1524 of the family's 2925-position model. The record is from RNAcentral. Lineage: Bacteria; Pseudomonadati; Pseudomonadota; Gammaproteobacteria; Enterobacterales; Enterobacteriaceae.
GUGACUGCGUACCUUUUGUAUAAUGGGUCAGCGACUUAUAUUCUGUAGCAAGGUUAACCGUAUAGGGGAGCCGUAGGGAAACCGAGUCUUAACCGGGCGUUAAGUUGCAGGGUAUAGACCCGAAACCCGGUGAUCUAGCCAUGGGCAGGUUGAAGGUUGGGUAACACUAACUGGAGGACCGAACCGACUAAUGUUGAAAAAUUAGCGGAUGACCUGUGGCUGGGGGUGAAAGGCCAAUCAAACCGGGAGAUAGCUGGUUCUCCCCGAAAGCUAUUUAGGUAGCGCCUCGUGAACUCAUCUCCGGGGGUAGAGCACUGUUUCGGCUAGGGGGCCAUCCCGGCUUACCAACCCGAUGCAAACUGCGAAUACCGGAGAAUGUUAUCACGGGAGACACACGGCGGGUGCUAACGUCCGUCGUGAAGAGGGAAACAACCCAGACCGCCAGCUAAGGUCCCAAAGUCAUGGUUAAGUGGGAAACGAUGUGGGAAGGCCCAGACAGCCAGGAUGUUGGCUUAGAAGCAGCCAUCAUUUAAAGAAAGCGUAAUAGCUCACUGGUCGAGUCGGCCUGCGCGGAAGAUGUAACGGGGCUAAACCAUGCACCGAAGCUGCGGCAGCGACACUGUGUGUUGUUGGGUAGGGGAGCGUUCUGUAAGCCUGCGAAGGUGGCCUGUGAGGGUUGCUGGAGGUAUCAGAAGUGCGAAUGCUGACAUAAGUAACGAUAAAGCGGGUGAAAAGCCCGCUCGCCGGAAGACCAAGGGUUCCUGUCCAACGUUAAUCGGGGCAGGGUGAGUCGACCCCUAAGGCGAGGCCGAAAGGCGUAGUCGAUGGGAAACGGGUUAAUAUUCCCGUACUUGGUGUUACUGCGAAGGGGGGACGGAGAAGGCUAUGUUGGCCGGGCGACGGUUGUCCCGGUUUAAGCGUGUAGG